Macaca mulatta (Rhesus monkey) is the source of this 896-nucleotide long non-coding RNA. RefSeq lists it as uncharacterized. Lineage: Eukaryota; Metazoa; Chordata; Mammalia; Primates; Cercopithecidae. The record is from RefSeq and is a predicted model, not a curated record.
GAGGGGAGCCAGCAGGGAGCUUGGCCAGGUGGGAACAGGUCCGGGCUGGACUGCAUGAGUUGGGCCAAAGUCCAGACCUGAGCUGUCCCCAGGACACAGCCCAGGAGAGCAGCUUGUGCAAUGGACCCACCCAGGCAGCCAGGACACUCUGCUGCCCGCACCAACGGCCGCACGCUCACGCCUCGCUGUGCUGUCUGUGCUCUGAACGCUGUCCGCACCAGCGGCCGCACACUCACGCCUCGCUGUGCUGUCUGUGCUCUGAAGAUUCUUCAAGGGUUCCAGAGCUUUCUGCAGGAAGAGGCCGACAUCAGUCUAACAUGCGACCGCAAAUUACAAGACAAAACGCGGAGGACGCUGUCAUCGGGCCGACGUUCACUCAGCAAACCUGCCUGCUGUGAAGAAUGAAUAGCUGUGUCAGAGCCGUAGAAAAGGAGAAAGCUGCCUCUGAAAUAGUCUCCAUCCCUGCCUCCGCAGGAAGAGAGCAGCUAUGACGCCUCUGUUCAGGUGUGCCAGGGCCGGGGAAAAGCGGGGCACUUGGCCUUCCCAGCACCUGGGGCACUGCCACGUCGGCCACCUCCACCCCAUGUGAACCCCACUCCUCCGAGAGUUCAGACUGGGACCAGUCACACGUGGUGUCCAAUGCUGGCUCAUUAUGCAUUUGUCAAAACCCACAGGAUGUGCAACACAGGGGGCCCGACGCGAGUGUGGAAUUUUGUAACUGACCGCGUGUGAUGUCGGCCCGUCGGUGGUAACAGGUGCACCUCGCCAGCAUAACAUGUUAAUUACAGGGGACAUUGGUGGCAGGGGAGGGGCUCUGUACUUUCUGCUCGAUUUCCCAUAAGCCUAAACCGCUCUAAAAACAAACAUGUGACAUAACUUUUUAAAUGAACUCAAAA